GAAUGUGAAGAUAAUCCAUUGGCAACACGUCAUUUCCUCGAUCAACAUGAUUGAUGAGGCUUAUUUGAGUGGCUGAGAAUGUUUCUCUUUCCUCCCUUACAGUUCCAUGUGCAUCCCUUCCAAAGCCACAUGCUCAAUCAAAGAAGAUGGACGAUCUUUCCAGAUAGAGUAGUGCUGUUCUUUAGUCAAGGAUAUAGAGUGGUUGUGUUUCCAUACCAGAACCUCUAUUCCAGUGGUUCUCAAACUUCAGCAUGCAUUAGAAUCACCAGGGGUGAGGGUGGGGUGGGUAUUAAUGUAUACAUUGCUGGGCCCCCACUCCCAGGGCUUCAUUCAGUCAGGAGAGGGGCCAGAUAAU
Molecule: small nuclear RNA, 355 nt
Filed under: Felis catus (domestic cat)
Lineage: Eukaryota; Metazoa; Chordata; Mammalia; Carnivora; Felidae
Also listed under: 1 other name
Description: 7SK RNA
Rfam family: 7SK RNA
About the family: 7SK was discovered as an abundant small nuclear RNA in the mid-70s but a possible function has only recently been suggested. Two independent studies have found that 7SK RNA binds the CDK9/cyclin T complex (known as elongation factor P-TEFb).
Source: Rfam by way of RNAcentral